AGAAGCAUGGGUUGGGAAAAACACUUGUUCCUGUACGUAUACAGCUAUUUCAAUUAAGGUUGUUCCCCGAGCUAAGCGGAAAAGUCGAAUACGAGCGCGAAAGGUUGCUGGUAAUCGCUAAUAACUUCAUUCAUUUAUUAGCGAAUCCCAGCAGCCUUUCGCGCUCGUAUUCGACUUUUCCGCUUUGCUCGGGGGACAAUCUUAAUUGAAAUAGCGGUAUAACUGUAUAACUGGUGUAUACAAUUGCGCAACCUACUCGAAAAUAUCACUAGCCUCCGAAAAAACUUCAUUUAUAUGAAACUUCAAGUUGGAAACAAAAUUUAUUAAACUUCAAACAAAUACAUAAUACGUUUCGGG
This is a non-coding RNA of Paramuricea clavata, 357 nucleotides long. The record is from the annotation of a GenBank genome assembly. Lineage: Eukaryota; Metazoa; Cnidaria; Anthozoa; Malacalcyonacea; Plexauridae.